This 135-nucleotide small nucleolar RNA is filed under the name Castor canadensis (American beaver). RNAcentral describes it as "Small nucleolar RNA SNORA70 (ENSCCNG00000006091.1)". It matches the Rfam family "Small nucleolar RNA SNORA70". From Rfam's summary of the family: snoRNA U70 seems to be exclusive to mammals and is a member of the H/ACA class of snoRNA which contain H (ANANNA) and ACA box motifs. H/ACA box snoRNAs are involved in the conversion of uridines to pseudouridines (5-ribosyluracil) a constituent of structural RNAs (transfer, ribosomal, small nuclear, and small nucleolar). The record is from RNAcentral. Lineage: Eukaryota; Metazoa; Chordata; Mammalia; Rodentia; Castoridae.
CAUUAAAAUUCUAAGCUGACCAGCUUCCUUUGUUUAUGGGAACCUGGUGUUCUGUGGCUGCAGACAGCAGUCUCCUCAGCAGUGUACACAGCCUAAUGCUUGUGUGGCUUGCCCUAAGGGACCUUGGAGACAGGU